GAUCAUGGCUCAGAUUGAACGCUGGCGGCAGGCCUAACACAUGCAAGUCGAACGGUAACAGGAAACAGCUUGCUGUUUCGCUGACGAGUGGCGGACGGGUGAGUAAUGUCUGGGAAACUGCCUGAUGGAGGGGGGAUAACUACUGGAAACGGUAGCUAAUACCGCAUAAUGUCGCAAGACCAAAGAGGGGGGACCUUCGGCCGUCCUUGUCCACUCGGAUGUGCCCACGAUGGGAGUUAG
Molecule: ribosomal RNA, 240 nt
Filed under: uncultured bacterium
Lineage: Bacteria
Description: partial 16S ribosomal RNA
Rfam family: Bacterial small subunit ribosomal RNA
Source: RNAcentral